This 549-nucleotide ribosomal RNA is filed under the name uncultured bacterium. Its description in RNAcentral is "bacterial SSU rRNA". It matches the Rfam family "Bacterial small subunit ribosomal RNA", at positions 355 to 896 of the family's 1533-position model. The record is from RNAcentral.
UGGGGAAUAUUGGACAAUGGGCGAAAGCCUGAUCCAGCCAUGCCGCGUGUGUGAAGAAGGCCUUUUGGUUGUAAAGCACUUUAAGUGGGGAGGAAAAGCUUGUGGUUAAUACCCACAAGCCCUGACGUUACCCACAGAAUAAGCACCGGCUAACUCUGUGCCAGCAGCCGCGGUAAUACAGAGGGUGCAGGCGUUAAUCGGAAUUACUGGGCGUAAAGCGAGCGUAGGUGGUCAUUUAAGUCAGAUGUGAAAGCCCCGGGCUUAACCUGGGAACUGCAUCUGAUACUGGGUGACUAGAGUAGGUGAGAGGGAAGUAGAAUUCCAGGUGUAGCGGUGAAAUGCGUAGAGAUCUGGAGGAAUACCGAUGGCGAAGGCAGCUUCCUGGCAUCAUACUGACACUGAGGUUCGAAAGCGUGGGUAGCAAACAGGAUUAGAUACCCUGGUAGUCCACGCCGUAAACGAUGUCUACCAGUCGUUGGGUCUCUUGAAGACUUAGUGACGCAGUUAACGCAAUAAGUAGACCGCCUGGGGAGUACGGCCGCAAGGUUA